Long non-coding RNA from Talpa occidentalis (Iberian mole), 438 nucleotides. RefSeq lists it as uncharacterized. Lineage: Eukaryota; Metazoa; Chordata; Mammalia; Eulipotyphla; Talpidae. The record is from RefSeq and is a predicted model, not a curated record. The transcript has 3 exons.
CAAUUGCUGAUUAUGGAAAUGACUCCAAUUGUUCAACCUCUCACAACUAUAUUUAGUCACCAAAAGCAAUCUAUCUGCUACUUUCAAAAGUUGUUAUACAAACAAGCAAUUUAUCCCUGCCUUCAUACACUGUAUACCUGAAGGCUAAUUCCUGCUCCAGAUGCUGUGAGGUCUGCCCAGCUGUUCCAAGUACAUACUAUUUGCAACAUAAACAGCACAUCCUGAAUAUUGUGCGGGUUGGGACUUUGCCAUUGAGACUAAAAUAUAUUUAGUGUCAGGAUUAAUCUUUGGCGGUCCAGCUUUUUGAAAUAUCCAAGAUGGGGGAUGCAUGGCAUCUAGGACUACUCUGAAUUAGUGGUAUUCUGCCUCGGGUUUUCUCAGACUUGGGGAGAAAGAAAAGAAUCUUCAUAAAAAUGGAAAAUUGUUCUUAGGUUUGUC